AAGCCUUAGGACUCAGCCACCUUUAAAUUUGCAAUUUAAAAUCAUUUUGAAUAUAAGGCU
Molecule: transfer RNA, 60 nt
Filed under: Agrilinae sp. 5 ACP-2013
Lineage: Eukaryota; Metazoa; Arthropoda; Insecta; Coleoptera; Buprestidae
Description: tRNA-Cys
Source: RNAcentral